CUUAGUUUCUAAUAUUAACUCAAAUAUUAAAUAUAACUUUGGUUCUCUGACUCUUUUUUGGCAUUAUUAUAUUGUGGGUUAUUAUUCCUUGCAAACUUCCUUCUCUUUUCAUAGACAUGUUAUGACUUUCUUCUUUUUGGUAAAUAAAAAGUUAAAACACUUUUAACAAUGAAAUAAAUGUGUAAAUUUCGUAACAAUAAUAAAACUUUAUCAUCUGUUCAAUUCCUUACGAGGCACAUGAUUGCAUUGCACCAGUGAGGAAUUUCUUUCCAUUUCUCCAGGUGGUUCCUAUGUUACUUGGAAAUGGAUUCUAGUAACUGGUAAUAUAUAUGUCUACAAGGACAAAAACCAACAAUUUUUUUAACAACAUAAUAUAUAUUUAUCACUAAAAAUUAAAAUUUCACCAUUAUAAAACAUAUUUUUAUUAAAACAAAAAUAAUAUAAUAAUAGAAUUUACUUUCCCAGCAAAAAAAUAAAAUCUUUUAAAACAUAUCAAAGAGACCUUCUUUCAAAUCACGAACUGUGGCCAUUAGUAUUGUGUCAUUGUGUGUUUAAUUUCUCUAGCUCAAGCCUAACAAAUGAUGGUUUGAUUUCUAAUGUAAAGAAGCAAACUUGAGAACAAAGGGAUUUUGAUAAUUAUUCAAGGAAUCAUCAUUAACCCCUGAUGGAUAGCUCAGAAACCUUAUAAAAGAAACAACUACAACUAUGGAUCUCCCUUUUUAUGUAAAAUAUUUAAAGAAGAGGUGAAUAUUAUGGAGAAUCACAAAUUAUCAUCAAUAUACUGGGAGAAAGUUGUUAAAAGUUUCAAUUCCUUUAUAAUUAAUUGUGUGAGUGAAAAAAAAAAGAUAAAAGAGCUUACAUAGUUUUUGGAUGAAAAUGAAAUGGCAUGGCAGGGAUGACCGAAGCUGUCCUGAGGACGAGGAGGGAGACACCACGGAGCAGAGAUAGAGGGAUUUGCUGAUUUGGAUUUUGGGGACAAACCUUGUGUCUGAACAUAAUAGAUUAGAG
RNAcentral lists this long non-coding RNA (1008 nucleotides) under Panax ginseng (ginseng). RNAcentral describes it as "long non-coding RNA (PGIN_LNC014261)". The record is from RNAcentral. Lineage: Eukaryota; Viridiplantae; Streptophyta; Magnoliopsida; Apiales; Araliaceae.